Paramuricea clavata is the source of this 398-nucleotide non-coding RNA. The record is from the annotation of a GenBank genome assembly. Lineage: Eukaryota; Metazoa; Cnidaria; Anthozoa; Malacalcyonacea; Plexauridae.
CCCCCUGCAGAGCUACACAGCUCCCCCUAGCGUUAGUUUUUCAAUUGAGACUAAAGAUUUGUGACACGACCCCCUUUUUUGAGAAAUUUACAAAAUUUCAUAACAAAACGCAAAUCUUUUCCAAUGAGUAUCAAACACCGUCUCUUGAAUGUAUAUCAAGUUUAUAACAAGUCUCUAAUGAACUCUACUGAGGUAGUCGGCACCAACGUUGUCGACUCCUUUGAUAGACUCAAUCUUAAUACCAUAGUUUUGCAAGAACAUCGCCCAUCUCAUAACUCUGUCGUUGAGAAACUUCGCUGUCUUCAAAUAGACCAAAGGCUGAUGGUCGGUUUGCAAUGUAAACUCUGUUCCAUAAAGGAAUAUCAAGAACUUUCGGACGGCCCAAACUACCGCGAGAC